AACGAACGCUGGCGGCAUGCCUAACACAUGCAAGUCGAACGAGACCUUCGGGUCUAGUGGCGCACGGGUGCGUAACGCGUGGGAAUCUGCCCUUGGGUUCGGAAUAACAGUUGGAAACGACUGCUAAUACCGGAUGAUGACGUAAGUCCAAAGAUUUAUCGCCCAAGGAUGAGCCCGCGUAGGAUUAGCUAGUUGGUGAGGUAAAGGCUCACCAAGGCGACGAUCCUUAGCUGGUCUGAGAGGAUGAUCAGCCACACUGGGACUGAGACACGGCCCAGACUCCUACGGGAGGGAGCAGUGGGGAAUAUUGGACAAUGGGCGAAAGCCUGAUACAGCAAUGCCGCGGGAGUGAUGAAGGCCUUAGGGUUGUAAAGCUCUUUUACCCGGGAUGAUAAUGACAGUACCGGGAGAAUAAGCUCCGGCUAACUCCGUG
This 433-nucleotide ribosomal RNA is filed under the name uncultured bacterium. Its description in RNAcentral is "partial 16S ribosomal RNA". It matches the Rfam family "Bacterial small subunit ribosomal RNA", at positions 29 to 507 of the family's 1533-position model. The record is from RNAcentral.